CCUACGGGAGACAGCAGUGAGGAAUAUUGGUCAAUGGGCGCGAGCCUGAACCAGCCAAGUAGCGUGAAGGAUGAAGGUUCUAUGGAUCGUAAACCUCUUUUAUAAGGGAAUAAAGUGUGGGACGUGUCCUGUUUUGUAUGUACCUUAUGAAUAAGGAUCGGCUAACUCCGUGCCAGCAGCCGCGGUAAUACGGAGGAUCCGAGCGUUAUCCGGAUUUAUUGGGUUUAAAGGGUGCGUAGGCGGCCUUUUAAGUCAGCGGUGAAAGUCGGUGGCUCAACCAUAGAAUUGCCGUUGAAACUGGGAGGCUUGAGUAUGUUUGAGGCAGGCGGAAUGCGUGGUGUAGCGGUGAAAUGCUGAGAUAUCACGCAGAACCCCGAUUGCGAAGGCAGCCUGCCAAGCCAUGACUGACGCUGAUGCACGAAAGCGUGGGGAUCAAACAGGAUUAGAUACCCCAGUAGUC
This 460-nucleotide ribosomal RNA is filed under the name uncultured bacterium. Its description in RNAcentral is "partial 16S ribosomal RNA". It matches the Rfam family "Bacterial small subunit ribosomal RNA", at positions 338 to 795 of the family's 1533-position model. The record is from RNAcentral.